RNAcentral lists this ribosomal RNA (230 nucleotides) under uncultured Dysgonomonas sp. RNAcentral's name for it is "partial 16S ribosomal RNA". It matches the Rfam family "Bacterial small subunit ribosomal RNA", at positions 253 to 481 of the family's 1533-position model. The record is from RNAcentral. Lineage: Bacteria; Pseudomonadati; Bacteroidota; Bacteroidia; Bacteroidales; Dysgonomonadaceae.
UAAGGUAACGGCUUACCAAGGCAACGAUGAAUAGGGGAACUGAGAGGUUUAUCCCCCACACUGGUACUGAGACACGGACCAGACUCCUACGGGAGGCAGCAGUGAGGAAUAUUGGUCAAUGGACGCAAGUCUGAACCAGCCAAGUCGCGUGAAGGAUGACUGCCCUCGGGUUGUAGACUUCUUUUGUAUGGGAGUAAAGUGGGUUACGAGUAACCUAUUGCAAGUACCAU